UGGGGAAUUUUGGACAAUGGGCGCAAGCCUGAUCCAGCCAUGCCGCGUGCAGGAUGAAGGCCUUCGGGUUGUAAACUGCUUUUGUACGGAACGAAAAGACUCUGGUUAAUACCUGGGGUCCAUGACGGUACCGUAAGAAUAAGCACCGGCUAACUACGUGCCAGCAGCCGCGGUAAUACGUAGGGUGCGAGCGUUAAUCGGAAUUACUGGGCGUAAAGCGUGCGCAGGCGGUUAUGUAAGACAGAUGUGAAAUCCCCGGGCUCAACCUGGGAACUGCAUUUGUGACUGCAUGGCUAGAGUACGGUAGAGGGGGAUGGAAUUCCGCGUGUAGCAGUGAAAUGCGUAGAUAUGCGGAGGAACACCGAUGGCGAAGGCAGCCCCCUGGGUCAAGAUUGACGCUCAUGCACGAAAGCGUGGGGAGCAAACAGGAUUAGAUACCCCGGUAGUCCCUGAGCGGGCUGGCAAGGCGCAU
Molecule: ribosomal RNA, 472 nt
Filed under: uncultured bacterium
Lineage: Bacteria
Description: bacterial SSU rRNA
Rfam family: Bacterial small subunit ribosomal RNA
Source: RNAcentral